CAGCAGGAGUGGGGGGGCCUGACAUUGGGCUCCGGAUGGCGCCCCCUCUACCCCCAGCAGCUAGAGGAUUAGAGUGGGAGAUGAAAGGGCAGUGCUUCCAGGUCGGCAGAGCGCGGGUGCCGCCGUGAUUGCGGGCGCCUCUGCCUAGUGGCUGCUGUGAUUUGAGAUCCUUGGGCAUCUGGGUAGCUGACUCUGGGCGCUCAGAUGAACCAUGCUGGGUGUGGCCCCUCCCAGAGGCUCCGGGCCUUGGGGGCCCUGGCCGGAGCCGCCCUGCUUUCCGCCCUGUGGCUCCUGUGGCUACUCG
Molecule: long non-coding RNA, 304 nt
Filed under: Ursus maritimus (polar bear)
Lineage: Eukaryota; Metazoa; Chordata; Mammalia; Carnivora; Ursidae
Description: lncRNA (ENSUMAG00000023224.1)
Source: RNAcentral